AUACAUUUCUCGGCCUUUUGACUAAGAUCAAGUCUACUAUCUGUUCUUAUCAGUUAAUAUCUAAUACGUGGAUUUUCAUGUCCACAUGAUAUUGAUUUUUUUUAUUUUGGAGGUGAUCCGCAUAUGUAGCUCGCUACAUGGGUCUUCAUGAUCGCUAUAGCGUUCCACUACUGUGGGUUGAUGCGCC
Non-coding RNA from Triticum aestivum (bread wheat), 187 nucleotides. NCBI's taxonomy places the organism in Eukaryota, Viridiplantae, Streptophyta, Magnoliopsida, Poales, Poaceae. The record is from Rfam.